CAGCCGCCACGGGAAUACAGAGGGUGCAAGCGUUAAUCGGAUUUACUGGGCGUAAAGGGCGCGUAGGUGGUUAUGUAAGUGAGAUGUGAAAUCCCCGGGCUCAACCUGGGAACUGCAUCUUAUACUGCGUAGCUGGAGUGCAGUAGAGGGUAGUGGAAUUUCCGGUGUAGGGGUGAAAUGCGUAGAUAUCGGAAGGAACACCAGUGGCGAAGGCGGCUACCUGGACUGACACUGACACUGAGGCGCGAAAGCGUGGGGAGCAAACAGGAUUAGAGACCCCAGUAGUCCCUGUCUCUUAUAC
RNAcentral lists this ribosomal RNA (301 nucleotides) under uncultured bacterium. Its description in RNAcentral is "partial 16S ribosomal RNA". It matches the Rfam family "Bacterial small subunit ribosomal RNA", at positions 509 to 807 of the family's 1533-position model. The record is from RNAcentral.